Molecule: ribosomal RNA, 377 nt
Filed under: uncultured organism
Description: partial 16S ribosomal RNA
Rfam family: Bacterial small subunit ribosomal RNA
Source: RNAcentral
GGGAGGGGGGGCCAGCGUUGUUCGGAAUUAUUGGGCGUAAAGGGCGCGUAGGGCGGCCUGGUAAGUCGGGGCGUGAAAUCCCGCGGGCUCAACCGCGGAACUGCGCUCGAAACUGCCGGGCUUGAGUCCCGGAGAGGGUAGCGGAAUUCCCAGUGUAGCGGUGAAAUGCGUAGAUAUUGGGAGGAACACCAGUGGCGAAGGCGGCUACCUGGACGGGUACUGACGCUGAGGCGCGAAAGCGUGGGGAGCAAACAGGAUUAGAUACCCUGGUAGUCCACGCUGUAAACGAUGGGCACUUGGUGUUGCGGGUAUCGACCCCUGCAGUGCCGAAGCUAACGCAUUAAGUGCCCCGCCUGGGGAGUACGGUCGCAAGGCUG